UAGGGCCUACGGGAGGCAGCAGUAGGGAAUCUUCCACAAUGGACGAAAGUCUGAUGGAGCAACGCCGCGUGAGUGAAGAAGGGUUUCGGCUCGUAAAGCUCUGUUGGUAGUGAAGAAAGAUAGAGGUAGUAACUGGCCUUUAUUUGACGGUAAUUACUUAGAAAGUCACGGCUAACUACGUGCCAGCAGCCGCGGUAAUACGUAGGGGGCAAGCGUUAUCCGGAUUCACUGGGCGUAAAGGGAGCGCAGGCGGCAUGGCAAGUCUGAUGUGAAAACCCGGGGCCCAACCCCG
This 292-nucleotide ribosomal RNA is filed under the name uncultured bacterium. RNAcentral's name for it is "partial 16S ribosomal RNA". It matches the Rfam family "Bacterial small subunit ribosomal RNA", at positions 333 to 617 of the family's 1533-position model. The record is from RNAcentral.